Molecule: transfer RNA, 73 nt
Filed under: Felis catus (domestic cat)
Lineage: Eukaryota; Metazoa; Chordata; Mammalia; Carnivora; Felidae
Also listed under: 3 other names
Rfam family: tRNA
About the family: Transfer RNA (tRNA) molecules are approximately 80 nucleotides in length.
Source: Rfam by way of RNAcentral
GCCUGGCUGGUUCAGUCGGAAGAGCACAAGACUCUUAAUCUCUGGGUCGUGAGUUUGAGCCCCACGUUGGGUA